This 459-nucleotide ribosomal RNA is filed under the name uncultured bacterium. Its description in RNAcentral is "partial 16S ribosomal RNA". It matches the Rfam family "Bacterial small subunit ribosomal RNA", at positions 338 to 795 of the family's 1533-position model. The record is from RNAcentral.
CCUACGGGAGGCAGCAGUGAGGAAUAUUGGUCAAUGGCCGGAAGGCUGAACGAGCCAAGCCGCGUGAAGGACGAAGGUGCCAAGCAUUGUAAACUUCUUUUGUCAAGGGACAAAAUCAGGCUCGAGAGCCUGACCGCGGGUACUUGAAGAAAAAGCAUCGGCUAACUCCGUGCCAGCCGCCGCGGUAAUACGGGGGAUGCGAGGGUUAUCCGGUUUUAUUGGGGUAAAAGGGGGCGUAGGCGGGCUGUUAAGUCAGCGGUAAAAGCCCGGGGCUCAACCCCGGCGAGCCGUGGAAACUGGCUGACUUGAGAUGUCGAGAGGUAUGCGGAAUGCGCAGUGUAGCGGUGAAAUGCUUAGAUAUUGCGCAGAACUCCGAUUGCGAAGGCAGCAUACCGGCGGCGAUCUGACGCUGAGGCACGAAAGCGUGGGUAUCGAACAGGAUUAGAUACCCGAGUAGUC